This is a long non-coding RNA of Lepisosteus oculatus (spotted gar), 3176 nucleotides long. NCBI's taxonomy places the organism in Eukaryota, Metazoa, Chordata, Actinopteri, Semionotiformes, Lepisosteidae. The record is from Ensembl.
CUAACUUGCAAGAGAACGGAUUCAAGGAUGUUUGCAGAACUGUAUGUUUUAAAGCCGUAUGAGAAGCUGGUCACCUCAGCUGGCGAUGGCAGACAGGGAGAGCGAGAGGCCAGAUGGGGACCAGGAGGAACAGAACGAGCUCCUCAGCUCUGAGCUGGACGAAGAGCCCAGCAGCUCGAGCUCGGGCCCCGCGCGGCUUCCCAGAGACCACUGCGACUUCCUGCUGGACGCCAUCGACGCCCAGCUCAGCCAGAUGCAGAGUGCCAGCUUCAGGAAGCAGGGCCAUGCUGGGAACUCACCUUGUAAAAGCACUGAAGAAACAUCCAGAGCAGCGACUUUCAGCCGAAGUCAGUCUCUGAGCAAGGAUGCAGGACUGGGCAGUACCAUUCAACCUGGCGACGCCCCCCUUUCAGAUCCACACAUGGUAUGCCCCAUGUUUCAAGACCCCUCCUCAGAGCCCAAAGGGAGGCGCCCAGACUCUGCCGAGGAGGAGAGAGAGGAGAGAGAAACUCGGAGAACGCAGGGAGGGGACUCCAGGAAGGAACAGUACAGGUGGAGGCUCGAGCAGCUCCUAGGAAGCCAAGGAGCAGGAGAGCAAGGGUACGAGAGCGACGUGAAUAUGGCGGAGAGUGUCUGCACGGAAGACUUUGCUGCGAAAUUCCGGGAAGGCAUGGUGGAUCCCCAGGUCGACCCAAACGGAGAGCUGGGAAGCGAUACUUCAGAGUGUCUCCCUGAGGAGCCCUUUGCUCCGAGGCGUCUUCGAGAGGGCCCCACCGAGCACCUGCGGAGCGGCACAGAGGCUGAUGAUGAACAGAUGGUGCUGGGGACACCGAGGGGGCGGGAUAACGCCCAGCAGAUCACGCAAGACUCUGAACGCGGCCUCACCUCGGAGGGGCUCGUCAAGGAGAGGUGUGGUUUGGGCCGGAGUCGCCGAGACAGUGAGGAAUCUCUCGGAGGUCGGAUCUCCAGGACGAGUCAGAGUAAUACUUCGGGCAAGGUCAGGAACUUAAGGAUUUCCACCCCUGAGCCAGUAUCCAUGAGCGAAAAUAGGAUGUCCGUCAUUGCUUUACAGAAUGGACAUGUCCAAUCUCUUCCUUGUCUGCCAGCAGCACUUGAUAAGGAGACAGGUCGGGAAAAGACUGGAUUCUCUCCAACACGGAUUUCGGAGGAUCUAUCACUGAGGAUGCCGUCAGUGAGCAGCCUUGAAAACCACCUCCCUGCCCAGCCCGUUCCUGCUGAUGGAAUACCAUCCUCUCUUGCUUUAGAUUCUCAUUUAUCUGUUGGUAAAGAUGAUGAACGACAAGCUCCAGGUCUGUCAGCCCUGGGCUCAAAUCGUUCCCCAGGAGGGAGACUCAUUGCCAUCGAUCCAGGGGUGUCCACACCUCCUUUUGGAGAACUCGGGGAGACGGUAAAGGGGUCCCUGGUGCAAGACCAAAGACACAUGGCGCCUUAUCAGGGUUGUGGAGCUCAGAAAGCUCACCAGCGGUCAAUCAGGAGAUCAGACAGCUGGCCCCCCACAUCGGGAUCCUCCCCUGGGACUGAAGUUAAUGAAGCUUCGGAUACUGGCAGAUCUAUCUUACUUCCUAACGCGAGCGAGCACCCCGACACAGCUGCCGACUCGCAGCGCUGGGGUCAGAGAGCGCCAGUGGCCUCCCUCCUUCCUCCAGCAAUGUCUGUGUCUUAUGAGACGGGUCACAUGGGAACUGGGAGUGCAAUAAGCCAAAACGAAGCUGCUGAAGAACAGUAUGGUUUGAGUCAAACCCCUAACAGCGGUGUGGACAGCACUGUGUCUCCUAGCGUUGCUGGAUUUCACAACACUUCUCGGAAAACUCUGGGAUCUCAAUGCAGCCUGCACACUGUUGGGACUGAAGAAUACGUGGGCACGUUUCCGACCCUGCCUGUCAAACAUGUGGCCGGUGUUCCUGUGAAGAAUUUUGAUGAAGUGACCAUUGACAGCGACCUGGAUUCAGUGAAUACAGCUCGAGUGCGCAAACACGUUCAAAGUGCGCUCCACAACAGCAAAGGUACUCGACCGUCAAAGUCACUGGUCGUAGAGGACCUGUACACAGACCAGAGUGACCUAGAUGCCGCCAAGCCGGAGGCCAUCCAGCGCACUUUCCACAGCCUCUUCCGCAAAAAGAAGACCCUGAGUCAAGGCGGGCGGAGAGCGAGCACGAACCGUUCUAGUGCACGUCACCCUGGCAGAAGAUCACAUCAUGGCAGGAAGGAAGCUUCCAGGUAUGCCAGCUCUGAUAAGACGCCGUCAGAGGAGGAGGAAGAGGGGUGCACAGGGGUCCAUGCAGCGCUGGAAUGGAGCCCCAGCAGGGCUCUGAGGUGGGAUGAAAGCCCCCAGAGAAGAGAGACGAGGGCUAAAGGGCUCGACCUUUCCCACGAGUCCCGUCUCUGGCUGGACGAGAUGAGCUCAGACAGGCUGGUGUUGGAGGAGUCUCUGUCCAGGCUGCGCAAGGACCUUGUGAAGGAAGAGGAGCGUCUGUUGCAGAAGAGAGCCCAGCAGCUGGAGGCUGAUCAGUCGCUCUCCGCCCUGUUGCACCAGAAGAAGCAAGCUCUGCGGGAGCUGGAGUCUGUGCGGGGGGCUGUUGAGCGCGGCGAGAGAGAGGCGAGCGUCCUGGAGGCAAGGCUGAGGGACAGCAGGAGCCAGGUGGAUGAAACCAGGUCACAGCUGCUGAUGCUGGAGUACCAACGGGAGUCCUGCCUGAAGGAAGGGAGGGCUCUGGAGGAGCAGCUGAGCACGCUCAGAGGGCAGUGUUCCCCUCCGCAGAGCCGCCAGGCGGGGGCGCUGCAGGACCGGGUGGCGGCCCUCAGCGCAGAGCGGGACGAGCUGAGGGCGCGGCUGAGGCACAGCGAGGGCAGCCUGACCCUGCUGGAGCGCCAGGAGCUGGAGCGACAGCUGGGCAGCGCCAAGAGCGAGCUGUUCGCCGAGCAGCGCCGGGCCCGGGAGAGGGCGGACGCGCUGCAGGAGAAGCUGGAGGAGUGCCAGACGGAGCUGGAGCAGCGAGCGGAUGAAGCCCUGGCCCUGCAGAGCAGGUGCUCCAGGCUGGAGGAGCAGCUCCGGGAGAAGGAGGCCCUGGCCCGGGAGCGGGGGGAGCGGGCGGCGGCGCUGGAGCGGAUCCUGGCGGAGAAGGAGCUGGAGAUGCUCCGGCUGCGGGAGGCCCAGG